CGCCUUGCCAGCCGCUCAGAACUUAAAGGAAUUGACGGGGCCCGCACAAGCGGAGGAGCAUGUGGUUUAAUUCGAUGAUACGCGAGGAACCUUACCUGGGCUCGAACGUAAGAUGACUGUAGGUGAAAGCUUACAUCUCUUCGGAGCAUUUUACGAGGUGCUGCAUGGUUGUCGUCAGCUCGUGCCGUGAGGUGUCGGGUUAAGUCCCAUAACGAGCGCAACCCCUACCUUUAGUUGCCAUCAGGUUAAGCUGGGGACUCUAAAGGAACUGCCUACGCAAGUAGUGAGGAAGGCGGGGAUGACGUCAAAUCAGCACGGCCCUUACGUCCAGGGCUACACACGUGCUACAAUGGCCGAUACAGAGGGCAGCUACCUGGUGACAGGAUGCAAAUCUCCAAAGUCGGUCUCAGUUCGGAUCGGAGUCUGCAACCCGACUCCGUGAAGUUGGAUUCGCUAGUAAUCGCGCAUCAGCCAUGGCGCGGUGAAUACGUUCCCGGGCCUU
Molecule: ribosomal RNA, 502 nt
Filed under: uncultured Sphingobacteriales bacterium
Lineage: Bacteria; Pseudomonadati; Bacteroidota; Sphingobacteriia; Sphingobacteriales
Description: bacterial SSU rRNA
Rfam family: Bacterial small subunit ribosomal RNA
Source: RNAcentral